RNAcentral lists this microRNA precursor (148 nucleotides) under Loxodonta africana (African savanna elephant). RNAcentral's name for it is "miRNA (ENSLAFG00000033142.1)". Lineage: Eukaryota; Metazoa; Chordata; Mammalia; Proboscidea; Elephantidae. The record is from RNAcentral.
AAUACAGAACACCGACUUAAAUUUGAAUUUUAGAUACACAACAAAUCAAAUUUUAGUAUAGGUCUCAUGCAAUAUUUGGGACAUACUUAUACUAAAAUUUAUUUGUUGUGUAUAUGCAGUUCAAACUCAACUGGAGCAUCCUGAUUUU